This 468-nucleotide ribosomal RNA is filed under the name uncultured bacterium. RNAcentral's name for it is "partial 16S ribosomal RNA". It matches the Rfam family "Bacterial small subunit ribosomal RNA", at positions 28 to 507 of the family's 1533-position model. The record is from RNAcentral.
GACGAACGCUGGCGGCGUGCUUAACACAUGCAAGUCGAACGGAAAGGCCCUGCUUUUGUGGGGUGCUCGAGUGGCGAACGGGUGAGUAACACGUGAGUAACCUGCCCUUGACUUUGGGAUAACUUCAGGAAACUGGGGCUAAUACCGGAUAUGAGCUCCUGCUGCAUGGUGGGGGUUGGAAAGUUUCGGCGGUUGGGGAUGGACUCGCGGCUUAUCAGCUUGUUGGUGGGGUAGUGGCUUACCAAGGCUUUGACGGGUAGCCGGCCCGAGAGGGUGACCGGCCACAUUGGGACUGAGAUACGGCCCAGACUCCUACGGGAGGCAGCAGUGGGGAAUAUUGCACAAUGGGCGGAAGCCUGAUGCAGCAACGCCGCGUGCGGGAUGACGGCCUUCGGGUUGUAAACCGCUUUCGCCUGUGACGAAGCGUGAGUGACGGUAAUGGGUAAAGAAGCACCGGCUAACUACGUG